CCUACGGGAGACAGCAGUGGGGAAUAUUGGGCAAUGGGCGCAAGCCUGAACCAGCAAUGCCGCGUGCGGGAUGACGGCUUUCGGAUUGUAAACCUCUGUUCGCUGUGAAGAUGAUAACGCUAGCAGUGGGGGCAGCUCCGGCUAAUUACGUGCCAGAAGCCGCGGUAAUACGGAGGGAGCGAGCGUUUUCCGGAUUUACUGGGUGUAAAGGGUGCGUAGGCGGUUUGGCAAGUCAGUAGUGAAAGCCAUGGGCUGAACCCGAGAACUGCUAUUGAAACUAUCGAGCUUGAGUACAGGAGAGGAAAGCGGAAUUCCAGGUGUAGCGGUGAAAUGCGUAGAGAUUAGGAAGAACACCAGUGGCGAAGGCGGCUUACUGGACUGUAACUGACGUUGAGGCACGAAAGCGUGGGGAGCAAACAGGAUUAGAUACCCCAGUAGUC
RNAcentral lists this ribosomal RNA (440 nucleotides) under uncultured bacterium. Its description in RNAcentral is "partial 16S ribosomal RNA". It matches the Rfam family "Bacterial small subunit ribosomal RNA", at positions 338 to 795 of the family's 1533-position model. The record is from RNAcentral.